RNAcentral lists this long non-coding RNA (283 nucleotides) under Gallus gallus (chicken). Lineage: Eukaryota; Metazoa; Chordata; Aves; Galliformes; Phasianidae. The record is from RNAcentral.
CAAGGAAACACUGGCCUGACUGGGGGGAUAAACAACUAACAACCUCCUCCAUCAUCACUGGUACAUGCAAUCUUCCAAAGUUUUUGUUUUCUGUACUAUCAGGCAACUUUUUAGUUUCACUCUUCUGUGUAGUUUGCUCUGUUAACUCAUAUUCAGAAAGCUGUUUUACUGAAGAAUGGAUCCUUCUGGAUAAAGCAGCUAAUUUGAUUGGAUUCAGUUUUAAGUUGUGCAGCAGACAUUUGUUAACUUGGCACAGACACUGAGACAACAUUUUGGAGUUGAU